Molecule: transfer RNA, 72 nt
Filed under: Orius niger
Lineage: Eukaryota; Metazoa; Arthropoda; Insecta; Hemiptera; Anthocoridae
Description: tRNA-Met
Source: RNAcentral
AAAAAGAUAAGCUAAAAUAAGCUAUUAGGUUCAUACCCUAAGUAUAGAAGUUAAAUAACCUUCUUCUUUUUA